Dermochelys coriacea (leatherback sea turtle) is the source of this 201-nucleotide long non-coding RNA. RefSeq lists it as uncharacterized. The record is from RefSeq and is a predicted model, not a curated record. NCBI's taxonomy places the organism in Eukaryota, Metazoa, Chordata, Testudines, Dermochelyidae. The transcript has 4 exons.
AUAAAGGGGAAGCAGCGUUUUUCUUCUGCAUAGUAAAGUUUCAAAGCUGUAUUAAGUCAAUGUUCACUUGUAAACUUUUAAAAACAACCAUAAUAUUUUGUUCAGAGUUCUGAACGUUUCCGAGUUAUGAACAUCCUUCAUUCCCAAGGUGUUCAGAACUCUGAGGUUCUACUGUGGUAUAAAGACUGUGAAUUUCCUGUU